AACGAACGCUGGCGGCGUGUCUUAAGCAUGCAAGUCGUGCGGCAAGGGUAGCAAUACCCCUAGAGCGGCGGACUGGUGAGUAACGCGUGGGUGAUCUGCCCUUGGGAUGGGGAUAGCCACUAGAAAUAGUGGGUAAUACCGAAUACGUUCCCCCGGCUUGGUCGUGGGGAGGGAAAAGACGGCUUCGGCGCUGCCCGACGGAGUGAGCCCGCGUCCAUUAGCUAGUUGGUGAGGUAAAGGCCCACCCAAGGCGAUGAUGGGUAGGCGGCCUGAGAGGGUGUACGCCCACACUGGGACUGAGAUACGGCCCAGACUCCUACGGGAGGCAGCAGCUAAGAAGUAUUCCGCAAUGGACGAAAGUCUGACGGAGCGACGCCGCGUGGA
Molecule: ribosomal RNA, 384 nt
Filed under: uncultured bacterium
Lineage: Bacteria
Description: bacterial SSU rRNA
Rfam family: Bacterial small subunit ribosomal RNA
Source: RNAcentral